RNAcentral lists this microRNA (26 nucleotides) under Tribolium castaneum (red flour beetle). RNAcentral describes it as "tca-miR-3833-3p". Lineage: Eukaryota; Metazoa; Arthropoda; Insecta; Coleoptera; Tenebrionidae. The record is from miRBase by way of RNAcentral.
ACAGUAACAGCCUUCCUGAAGCUUGC